Long non-coding RNA from Rana temporaria (common frog), 788 nucleotides. RefSeq lists it as uncharacterized. The record is from RefSeq and is a predicted model, not a curated record. The transcript is spliced from 2 exons. NCBI's taxonomy places the organism in Eukaryota, Metazoa, Chordata, Amphibia, Anura, Ranidae.
AAAUCACAUCGUUCUAUAUCUAAAGUCCGAUGGAAUUCAUCAAAAUUUCAGAUGAAAAAACUCUGAUGGGGCUACACAUCUGACUCUAAAAUUUCGAUCAUGUGUAGGGGGCAUAAGAGAGUGUUAUUAUGUAUGGAAAAGCUCAACGUUGAAUUAAAUAAGUGAAGACUUAUUUAAUUCAACGAUCAUGUAAUGCAAUCUACAACUCCCCUUUCAUGUCUGACAUUGAUAGAAUGGGACCUAUGUGCAUGCCUAGUGUCACUAGCACUUUAUAAGCUCAUUAUUAUAUAUCCAAACUACAAUAUAUCGAUUAUCAACCAUUUCUAUUUAUACUCUUUAAUAGGUUGCUGUUUGGCAGUCGCUCUGUUGGGAUCCCCCCUCCCCCCACCCGGCCCGGGUUUUCAUUUGGCUGGUGUGUUGGAUCCUUCCCACUUUUUGCUGUGGGCCCUUGCAGGCCGUUACAUAUGGCACACUGGGAGACCGUUUGGGGAUUUUAGCCAUCCUUGCGGAGAUGUUCAACCAGAGGUCCUCCUGUGGAUUUUAGUUCAAACUCUGGUCUAGACAUAACUGAAACCUACACGCUCUUGCACCUCAACUUCCUCCGAAGAAGACCCUCAUAUGGGUUGAAACGCGUCAGAAAUUACUUGAUCUACAUAUUAACCACUCAUGUUAAUUCAUGUCAUGUACUUUGGUGCAACACUCUAUGUGUAAAUGUUUUUAGUGUAAACUAUACCAGAGCUUAUUGUUUUAUACUUUUUCUACCAUUAAAUAAUUUUUCUAUUUUGUUA